UCACGGCAGAAAUAGGCAGGGUGGUGGU
Molecule: non-coding RNA, 28 nt
Filed under: Bombyx mori (domestic silkworm)
Lineage: Eukaryota; Metazoa; Arthropoda; Insecta; Lepidoptera; Bombycidae
Source: RNAcentral